This 464-nucleotide ribosomal RNA is filed under the name uncultured bacterium. Its description in RNAcentral is "partial 16S ribosomal RNA". It matches the Rfam family "Bacterial small subunit ribosomal RNA", at positions 339 to 795 of the family's 1533-position model. The record is from RNAcentral.
CUACGGGGGGCAGCAGUGGGGAAUAUUGGACAAUGGGGGAAACCCUGAUCCAGCAAUGCCGCGUGUGUGAAGAAGGCCUGCGGGUUGUAAAGCACUUUCGGUUGGGAGGACUGCUUCUAGCACUAAUAUUGUUGGAAGUUGACGUUACCUUCAGAAGAAGCACCGGCUAACUCCGUGCCAGCAGCCGCGGUAAUACGGAGGGUGCAAGCGUUAAUCGGAAUUACUGGGCGUAAAGCGCGCGUAGGCGGCUAGAUCAGUCGGGUGUGAAAGCCCGGGCUUAACCUGGGAACUGCAUCCGAUACUGUCUAGCUUGAGUACAGGAGAGGAGAGUGGAAUUCCACAUGUAGCGGUGAAAUGCGUAGAUAUGUGGAGGAACACCAAUGGCGAAGGCAGCGCUCGGGCCUGAUACUGACGCUGGGGUGCGAAAGCGUGGGGAGCAAACAGGAUUAGAUACCCGUGUAGUC